UGAAUCAUCAAUCCUCGAGGUUUCUCUUGGAUUGGAGUUGGGCGUUGCCGAUCGGCUCGCCUUAAAGAUGUUAGCAGACACGAUGGUGAUGUCGACGUGAUACGUUUCGUCGGACCAGCCAUACGCCCGCUCAUAACCCCACGGCUUCGGCCCACUUUAACUCUGACCUCAAAUCAGGUAGGACUACCCGCUGAACUUAA
RNAcentral lists this unclassified non-coding RNA (200 nucleotides) under soil metagenome. RNAcentral's name for it is "partial contains internal transcribed spacer 2 and large subunit ribosomal RNA". The record is from RNAcentral.